Transfer RNA from Ophiostoma piceae, 72 nucleotides. It matches the Rfam family "tRNA". Rfam says of the family: Transfer RNA (tRNA) molecules are approximately 80 nucleotides in length. Their secondary structure includes four short double-helical elements and three loops (D, anti-codon, and T loops). Further hydrogen bonds mediate the characteristic L-shaped molecular structure. tRNAs have two regions of fundamental functional importance: the anti-codon, which is responsible for specific mRNA codon recognition, and the 3' end, to which the tRNAs corresponding amino acid is attached (by aminoacyl-tRNA synthetases). tRNAs cope with the degeneracy of the genetic code in two manners: having more than one tRNA (with a specific anti-codon) for a particular amino acid; and 'wobble' base-pairing, i.e. permitting non-standard base-pairing at the 3rd anti-codon position. Lineage: Eukaryota; Fungi; Ascomycota; Sordariomycetes; Ophiostomatales; Ophiostomataceae. The record is from Rfam.
GGGAUUAUGGUUUAGUGGCUAGAAUACCUCGUUGUGGCCGAGGAGACCCGUGUUCGAUUCACGGUAAUCCCA